RNAcentral lists this ribosomal RNA (216 nucleotides) under Triticum aestivum (bread wheat). RNAcentral's name for it is "partial small subunit ribosomal RNA". Lineage: Eukaryota; Viridiplantae; Streptophyta; Magnoliopsida; Poales; Poaceae. The record is from RNAcentral.
AUGGUGGUCCUCAAGUUGGAUUUCCAAAAGGCGUUCGACACUGUCAGCUGGGCAUGCCUCUUCAGCAUUCUUCAAGCCCGUGGUUUCCCUUCGCAAUGGAUUAGCUGGAUUUCAUCGCUUCUGACCACGGCUAGCUCCAGAAUCAUGCUCAGUGGUGAGCUUGGGGAGUCUUUCGUUGCAAAAAGAGGUUUUCGUCAGGGCGACUCCAUCUCGCCG